GAGUUGGAUCAUGGCUCAGAUUGCAACGCUGGNGGCANAGCCUAACACAUGCAAGUCGAGCGGCAGCACAAGGGAGUUUACUCCUGAAGGUGGCGAGCGGCGGACGGGUGAGUAAUGCCUAGGGAUCUGCCCAGUCGAGGGGGAUAACAGUUGGAAACGACUGCUAAUACCGCAUACGCCCUACGGGGGAAAGAGGGGGACCUUCGGGCCUCUCGCGAUUGGAUGAACCUAGGUGGGAUUAGCUAGUUGGUGAGGUAAUGGCUCACCAAGGCGACGAUCCCUAGCUGUUCUAGAGAGGAUGAUCAGCCACACUGGGACUGAGACACGGACCCAGACUCCUACGGGAGGCAGCAGUGGGGAAUAUUGCACAAUGGGGGAAACCCUGAUGCAGCCAUGCCGCGUGCGUGAAGAAGGCCUUCGGGUUGUAAAGCACUUUCAGUAGGGAGGAAAGGGUAGAGUCUUAAUACGGCUCAUCUGUGACGUUACCUACAGAAGAAGGACCGGCUAACUCCGUGCCAGCAGCCGCGGUAAUACGGAGGGUCCGAGCGUUAUCGGAAUUA
Molecule: ribosomal RNA, 560 nt
Filed under: uncultured bacterium
Lineage: Bacteria
Description: bacterial SSU rRNA
Rfam family: Bacterial small subunit ribosomal RNA
Source: RNAcentral